This 433-nucleotide ribosomal RNA is filed under the name uncultured bacterium. RNAcentral's name for it is "partial 16S ribosomal RNA". It matches the Rfam family "Bacterial small subunit ribosomal RNA", at positions 29 to 507 of the family's 1533-position model. The record is from RNAcentral.
AACGAACGCUGGCGGUAUGCCUAACACAUGCAAGUCGAACGAGAGCUUCGGGUCUAGUGGCGCACGGGUGCGUAACGCGUGGGAAGGUGCAGUUAGGUUCGGAAUAAUUCUUCGAAAGGGGUGCUAAUGUCGGAUAAUGUAUUCGGAUCAAAGAUUUAUCGUCUUUGGAUGGGCCGGGGUUGGAUUAGCCAGUUGGUAGGGUAAAAGCCUACGAAGGCGACGAUCCAUAGCUGGUCUGAGAGGAUGAUCAGCCACUCUGGGACUGAGACACGGCCCAGACUCCUGCGGGAGGCAGCAGUGCGGAAUAUUGGACAAUGGGCUAAAUCCUGAUCCAGCAAUGCCGCGUGAGUGAUGAAGUCCUUAGGGUUGUAAAGCUCUUUUACCCGGGAUGAUAAUGACAGUACCGAGAGAAUAAGCACCGGCUAACUCCGUG